UAACAACUGAAAGGAGGUGAUCCAGUGUCUCAUUGUCAUCAACCGCUGGUGCAAGGCGGUCGGACCUGGACUUCUUCUACCUGGGGCCCUUGUUCCGCGUGAGUUUUCGCACCUUCAGGCCCGGUUCGCCGGGUCGCGGUUCGACAAUGGAAGGGCUGCCCUCGCGGGCGGCCCU
Molecule: small RNA, 175 nt
Filed under: Allobosea sp. Leaf344
Lineage: Bacteria; Pseudomonadati; Pseudomonadota; Alphaproteobacteria; Hyphomicrobiales; Alloboseaceae
Description: Bosea sp. Leaf344 caulobacter sRNA CC2171
Rfam family: caulobacter sRNA CC2171
Source: Rfam by way of RNAcentral